AGUGAACGCUGGCGGUAGGCCUAACACAUGCAAGUCGAACGGCAGCACAGUAAGAGCUUGCUCUUACGGGUGGCGAGUGGCGGACGGGUGAGGAAUACAUCGGAAUCUACUUUUUCGUGGGGGAUAACGUAGGGAAACUUACGCUAAUACCGCAUACGACCUACGGGUGAAAGCAGGGGAUCUUCGGACCUUGCGCGAUUGAAUGAGCCGAUGUCGGAUUAGCUAGUUGGCGGGGUAAAGGCCCACCAAGGCGACGAUCCGUAGCUGGUCUGAGAGGAUGAUCGGCCACACUGGAACUGAGACACGGUCCAGGCUCCCAGGGGAGGCAGCAGGGGGCAAUAUUGGAGAAUGGGGGCAAGCCUGAGCCAGCCACGCCGCGUGGGUGAAGAAGGCCUUCGGGUGGUAAAGCCAUUUUGUUGGGAAAGAAAAGCAGCAGGUUAAUACCCCGCUGUUCUGACGGUACCCAAAGAAUAAGCACCGGCAAACUUCGU
This 491-nucleotide ribosomal RNA is filed under the name uncultured bacterium. RNAcentral's name for it is "partial 16S ribosomal RNA". It matches the Rfam family "Bacterial small subunit ribosomal RNA", at positions 29 to 506 of the family's 1533-position model. The record is from RNAcentral.